Molecule: small RNA, 83 nt
Filed under: uncultured Eubacterium sp.
Lineage: Bacteria; Bacillati; Bacillota; Clostridia; Eubacteriales; Eubacteriaceae
Description: GA-cis RNA
Rfam family: GA-cis RNA
Source: RNAcentral
AAGGCGGAAACAAAAUUAAUGAAGUUUAUAUUCUAAAAUGUUUCAAUGACCAGUCGCCGACCGGAUGGAGGGGCAAUACAUAU